CCACCUCGGACUGAGGAUGUGUUCUCUCAACUCCCCACCACGUUCCUAAUGUGUAUUAUCUUCAUCUUUUAUUUCUCCUCGAUAUCCUUAGCAUGCAUGCAGAUCUCGGUGUUCCACAAGAUUGUGCAAGAAAAUCAAAUGAAAUCACACGUGAGAACAGGAAGCAAUCCCAGGAAAGGAGUUUAGCGCAGUCCCCAACUCAGUUUGCGGGUAAAGCCGGUGCCUCAGCAGCCUGGUGCUUAGUUUCUCUGCAAACAUCAGGUUCAGAUGACAGGUCAGCAUCCAGCGAGCGUAAUCUCUGGUCCCCUACACACUGUAGGGGCUUACUUUCUACUUCAGGAAGUUUGGAUUCUUCACUGCCUUCUGACAACACAGCUUUCUGGAGGAUGUUAUUGGUGACCUUUGUUUUACUCUGGUGUAAGCUUCAUUCUGCAGUGGUACCUCAAACAUCGGGGAGCACUCACCAGGCUCUUCUAGGUCUUCCAUCUCCAGGUCCUUCCAGCUCCUCUUUGUUUCAGACAAGAUUCUCUCCCACUCUCCGCAUUGCUCCUGCUUUAUGGGAUUGCUUGCCAAUCACUUUCUUGGCACUGCCUUGUUUGGGGAAAAAAAAGCAGCACCACGAACACCACAGCCCUCGUUCAAGCAGGACGGAGGAAGCACAGUGGCUGUGGGCACAUUGAGAGAAGCUUAAGCAACAUGGAAGGUGAGGAUGUGCAAUUAAUGGAUGUGCAAUUCUUUAUUUUUUUAAAAUCACCAUUUGGCUUAAUAUUUGUCUUGUUUCAUAGGGCAAGGGCUGCAUUCAUUUCCUCCUUGAAGUUUCCUCUGCAUUUGGAAGCAUGCUGAAGUUAGCAGCCAGGCCAUCUACAUCUCCGUCCUCAUCACUCACAGCAGCUGUGACUUCCUGGGGUGUUCUACUGAAGGUGCUGCACUCUGCUCAAUGAUGAGAUGGUGUUUGCAGUGGGAGACUUCUACAAGUCACAUAUUCCAUUGCUUUACUCCUAAACACUAAUAAAUACUGAUGCUUAAACCA
This 1030-nucleotide long non-coding RNA is filed under the name Numida meleagris (helmeted guineafowl). Its description in RNAcentral is "lncRNA (ENSNMEG00000005082.1)". Lineage: Eukaryota; Metazoa; Chordata; Aves; Galliformes; Numididae. The record is from RNAcentral.